CAAGGGACGCUAGUACAGGUGGUGCAUGGCUGUCGUCAGCUCGUGUCGUGAGAUGUUGGUUAAGUCCCGCAACGAGCGCAACCCCUGUCUUUAGUUGCCAGUAUUCAAAGUUAGGCACUCUAAAGAUACUGCCUCGGUUAACGGGGAGGAAGUGGGGACGACGUCAAGUCCUCAUUGGCCUUUAUAUCCAGGGCUACACACGUGCUACAAUGGGUCGUACAAAGGGUCGCCACUCCGCGAGGAGGAGCUAAUCCCAAAAAGCGGCUCUCAGUUCGGAUCGGAGUCUCGCAACUCGACUCCGUGAAGUUGGAAUCGCUAGUAAUCGUGGAUCAGCAUGCCACGGUCGAAUACGUUCCGGGCCUU
RNAcentral lists this ribosomal RNA (363 nucleotides) under uncultured Desulfarculaceae bacterium. Its description in RNAcentral is "bacterial SSU rRNA". It matches the Rfam family "Bacterial small subunit ribosomal RNA", at positions 1020 to 1382 of the family's 1533-position model. The record is from RNAcentral. Lineage: Bacteria; Pseudomonadati; Thermodesulfobacteriota; Desulfarculia; Desulfarculales; Desulfarculaceae.